Molecule: ribosomal RNA, 444 nt
Filed under: Kodamaea ohmeri
Lineage: Eukaryota; Fungi; Ascomycota; Pichiomycetes; Serinales; Debaryomycetaceae
Description: eukaryotic LSU rRNA
Rfam family: Eukaryotic large subunit ribosomal RNA
Source: RNAcentral
AAAGCUCAAAUUUGAAAUCCCCCCGGGGAGUUGUAAUUUGAAGAUUGCGUCUUGGAGGCGACCGUGUCUAUGUUCCUUGGAACAGGACGUCACAGAGGGUGAGAAUCCCGUGCGGCACGGCCCCCGGCUCCUUAUAAGGCGCUCUCGACGAGUCGAGUUGUUUGGGAAUGCAGCUCAAAGUGGGUGGUAAAUUCCAUCUAAAGCUAAAUACAGGCGAGAGACCGAUAGCGAACAAGUACAGUGAUGGAAAGAUGAAAAGCACUUUGAAAAGAGAGUGAAACAGCACGUGAAAUUGUUGAAAGGGAAGGGCAUGCCGUCAGAUUGUCAGUGUGGGUAAGAAGCGGGGUACAAAGACUGUGGAACGUGGCCCUCGGGUGUUAUAGCCGCAGUUCAUGCCCCGUCUCUUUCCGAGGCCUGCUUUGAGGACACCGACGUAAUGACCGG